AAGACUGUACUUUCAGGGAUCAUUUCUAUAGUUUAUAACUGAGAAAUGCGUUUUGAAAGUGUUUGGUCUCGCUACCCACGAUGAUGAGAUAAUACAUCUCCUUCUGAGCACGAAGCGGAUAGAGAACAUUGAUGUUGAUCAACUGCUCUCUGUCAUUGAUGAGUGUUCCGAUUCUGAAAAGAAUAUGGAGGUAGAGGAUGCGUUCUGAGUGGU
This is a small nucleolar RNA of Anguilla rostrata (American eel), 213 nucleotides long. RefSeq annotates it as small nucleolar RNA U3. The transcript has a single exon. The record is from RefSeq and is a predicted model, not a curated record. Lineage: Eukaryota; Metazoa; Chordata; Actinopteri; Anguilliformes; Anguillidae.